RNAcentral lists this unclassified non-coding RNA (214 nucleotides) under Hevea brasiliensis (rubber tree). Lineage: Eukaryota; Viridiplantae; Streptophyta; Magnoliopsida; Malpighiales; Euphorbiaceae. The record is from RNAcentral.
GAUGACAACACAUUUUUCAAUGGUUUCUGAUUUGGGCUUGAACUUGAUUAAUUUAUUUACUAUUUUAAUAGUUCUCUAAUUUUUGAACGUGAGAUGAGAUGAACAAGAUUAUAUAAUUCUUGCCAUCUGUUGCUAAUUGAAAUUCUGCUUUUUCAAUAUUUCUCUGUUAUCUUCCUAUUUAUAUUCUUAAAUGUGUGCAUGUUGAUUAUUUUUG